Molecule: long non-coding RNA, 1923 nt
Organism: Populus euphratica (Euphrates poplar)
Lineage: Eukaryota; Viridiplantae; Streptophyta; Magnoliopsida; Malpighiales; Salicaceae
Exons: 3
Source: RefSeq, a predicted model, not a curated record
CUCACCGACAAUAGAUUACUAUUGCAAAUAAUUUCCCAGAAAAACCUCACAGUCGUCUCCAUCGAUCGGCUCUCGUCUCCACUGAGAUUGAUCUGGAAAAAUCCACCCAUUUCCUAAAUUUUCGUCCUUCUUCCCCUCUGUUCUCUUCUCUCGUUUGUUGCCAAAAGACAACCACAACAAAAAUUAUCCAAAACAAUCAGAGAGUCUCCAUUUUUAAAUCUUGAAAAAUCCUGCCUAUUUUCCAAAAUUUUCAAGAGUUCCCCUUUGUUCCCUUCUCUUGUCUGUUGUCAAAAGACAACCACAGCAAAAAUUAUCCAAAGGCUUCAUUUUUAGAUCUAGAAAAAUCGAGCCCUUAUUUCCCAAAAUCUGAGCACUCGUUCCCCUCUGUCCCCUUCUCUCGUCUCCUGCCAAAAGACUUCAAAACUAUUGUAAAAAUAUUUCCCGAAACAACCCAAGAGGCUUCAUUGUUCAUAUCUGGAAAAAAUUUUCCCAAAACCAUAGUAGAUCAUUUGCCCUGUUCCCCUUUGUUCCCUUUUUCUUUCAAAGAAGAUCUAUCACCUUCACGCUCAUAACCUAUGCCAAGAGGUCUCCAUUGUUCUGGUUUGCAGAAAAAAUCAGCAGACAUUAACCAACAGGGGAAACUUCAUAGGAGAGAGAGAACCAAAAAAGCAGCAGAAAAGCACCAGCUGGGGAAACACACACAAGAGAGAGAACCGUAAAUUUAAUCUGACUUAUCUCCAUAUUGAGAUUUAUUAUAAUUAGCUCUUAAUUUAUUUUGUUUUCUGCUUCAUGAAUUCUGUUUACUGUGAUUAAUUUUGUGUGCAUUGUGCGAUGAAAUCGGUUUUUUAGUUGGUUGAAUGAGGUUUUACACUGCUGCUGCUUCAUCAGUUCUUUACAAGUGUUUGUUUAUAAAUUGUUAUAGUGCCAUCAGUGGUCUGAUUAGCCGAGGGGAAAAGUAAUUAUGAUAAUGUGCUUUGCUUGAUUCUUUUACUUUAUUGAGCGAUUAGUUUUUGUCAUCAUCUAUUUUUGGCAAAAAUGCUCAGGUAAUGCUGAACUUUAGAUUUACUUUUCACAACCAUUUCCCUAUUAUGGUGAUCAAUUAUAGUUUACCGCUGCCUUGUAAGCCUGGGUUUUUUUCCCUCCAAAGCCUAACUAAUUUUGCUGCCUUCAAUUGAAAAUUAAAGAAUAUUUGUUGAUGUGCUUCAGUUUAUGUUGGUGAUAAAUGAAUCCAAUCUCACUUGUUUAAGAUAACCAUAAUAAGAUAAAAUAGAAGUUUCAUUUGUUAAUUUAUUGAAACUAAAAAAUUUCAAACUUCUUCCAAAACAUAAAGCUUAAACCGACAGGUAUUUCAGCUAUAAUUUUGACUUGAGCAAUUUCAACUAAAGAGAGGAAUCACCAACAAGAAGCACGAUAAAAAAAGCAUUGAUUCUUAUGCUGUAUUGGUAGAAUCCUAUGUUAUAUUUGCCCCCAAGUAAUUAUAUCAUUAUUUUAUUUUGUUAAAUGCUUUAAAAGAUACCAUGGAAGGUGUUGAAUCUAUGAAAGACUGUUUGGUUAAAGGAAAUGUUGCAUAUAGUUUGUGAUAUAUGCAUUAAGGCUAUUGAUAUGGGAAUGAGAUCAAAUAUUUAUUUUGAUAAAACAGGGUGGAAAUUUCUUAUAACAUCAUUCCAAGAACAAACUGGCCAUGCAUUCACUAAAACACAAUUGAAAAACAAAUGGGAUGAAUGCAAAAAUGAUUGGAGGAUCUGUAAUAAGCUGGUUUUUGAAACUGGUGUUGACUAGAGUAAUGAAUUAAAAACAAUUUUAACUAGUGAUGAGUGGUGGAAAGAAAAAAUCCAGGUAAAUUCCUCAUUAUCUUGACGACUUUUUUUAUUGUUGUCAAAUUUCAAAAAAAAAAAUUUCAAUACAUGAUUCUUUAUUAAUUAA